UAAGGAAUCUUCCACAAUGGACGAAAGUCUGAUGGAGCAACACCGCGUGCAGGAUGACGGUCUUCGGAUUGUAAACUGCUUUUAUAUGGGAAGAUUAUGACGGUACCAUAUGAAUAAGCACCGGCUAACUACGUGCCAGCAGCCGCGGUAAUACGUAGGGUGCAAGCGUUAUCCGGAAUCACUGGGCGUAAAGCGUGCGUAGGCGGAAGCUUAAGUGUGAUGUUAAAUCGUGGGGCUCAACCCCGUCGAUGCAUUGCAUACUGGGUUUCUAGAGGAAAGCAGAGGCAAGUGGAACUCGUAGUGUAGCGGUAAAAUGCGUAGAUAUUACGAAGAACACCAAUGGCGAAGGCAGCUUGCUGGGCUUUUUCUGACGCUGAGGUACGAAAGCGUGGGGAGCGAACAG
RNAcentral lists this ribosomal RNA (403 nucleotides) under uncultured bacterium. RNAcentral's name for it is "bacterial SSU rRNA". It matches the Rfam family "Bacterial small subunit ribosomal RNA", at positions 355 to 775 of the family's 1533-position model. The record is from RNAcentral.